Molecule: long non-coding RNA, 136 nt
Organism: Maniola jurtina (meadow brown)
Lineage: Eukaryota; Metazoa; Arthropoda; Insecta; Lepidoptera; Nymphalidae
Exons: 3
Source: RefSeq, a predicted model, not a curated record
AGAGCCAGCGCGUGCCAGACUAUCGUUAUUUUAAAAAAGCUGAAAGUUUUUCUGCAUAUUGUUCCCAACACAGGGUGGAACGGCCAGCGACUAUGAAGUUUGGAUCAUGGUGGCUUUAGGAGAAAUUAAAAGUUAA